Molecule: ribosomal RNA, 429 nt
Filed under: Chloroflexota bacterium
Lineage: Bacteria; Bacillati; Chloroflexota
Description: Chloroflexi bacterium partial 16S ribosomal RNA
Rfam family: Bacterial small subunit ribosomal RNA
Source: RNAcentral
UGGGGAAUAUUGCACAAUGGGCGCAAGCCUGAUGCAGCCAUGCCGCGUGUGUGAAGAAGGCCUUCGGGUUGUAAAGCACUUUCAGCGGGGAGGAAGGCGUUAAGGUUAAUAACCUUGGCGAUUGACGUUACCCGCAGAAGAAGCACCGGCUAACUCCGUGCCAGCAGCCGCGGUAAUACGGAGGGUGCAAGCGUUAAUCGGAAUUACUGGGCGUAAAGCGCACGCAGGCGGUCUGUCAAGUCGGAUGUGAAAUCCCCGGGCUCAAUCUGGGAACUGCAUUCGAAACUGGCAGGCUAGAGUCUUGUAGAGGGGGGUAGAAUUCCAGGUGUAGCGGUGAAAUGCGUAGAGAUCUGGAGGAAUACCGGUGGCGAAGGCGGCCCCCUGGACAAAGACUGACGCUCAGGUGCGAAAGCGUGGGGAGCAAACAGG